GUGAAGCGCAUCGGUAUUUGUGAGCAAACUUUACUGGGCACAUUUUCCGAAUUCCCAACUUCCCAACGUUUCUCUGCACACGCUAAAACAGACUUUGGUAUGACCGAGAGCAUGACUGUUUGUUUCAAAAGGCAAUCACAUUUAUUUUUUCAUCUCGCAGGACAUUUUUCUAAACGCCCCAAGCAAACGAAUUUAAAUAAAAGCAUUUUUCGUGUAAGUUUGAUGAUGUUUGGACACUUUUUUAGUUAAAAUAUUUGUAAAUAUAAAACUUUAUUUGAAAGUUACAUUGCUGCUACAUUGUGUGAGUUUUUUAAACGUGCCGUGUUUAUUUUGGUCAUCCAGCGAGAAAAAAAAAAUGAAAAUUUUGUUGCGAAAAAAGUCAUCCCGCACCGAAGAAAACUUCCCGUUACAGCUAAAUAUGAGCUGCACUAGCGAUUUGGAGUUCUUUUUUCCGAGAUUGCGCAAGCUUCCCGUUGGAGCUGUCCCCGCAUGUGGUAUCAAAUAGGUUCAACUUCAACAACCAGGCAGGAGAUAUACGGAAAGCCGCUGUUCGUAGCUGACGAGAAAGCUAAUAAUUUCAAUAAGCAGCACAUGACCGCUUCUGAAAAUGUCCGAUUGCCAGGACUUAGAUGAGAGCGACUUAAAAUUUCAAUCCGGAUGAUGUUAAGAUAUGUCCUGCAUUCCGCUUGGCGACGUGAAGCAGACACAAAUCCAGGCCGCAACACACCUCCUAGAAAAAUUAAGUGUAUAUUAAUUGAAACUACCCACAAUGAAAAUGAAGUGUAUGCUUAUUUAUCCAAAUAAAA
Aedes aegypti (yellow fever mosquito) is the source of this 806-nucleotide long non-coding RNA. RefSeq lists it as uncharacterized. The record is from RefSeq and is a predicted model, not a curated record. The transcript is spliced from 3 exons. NCBI's taxonomy places the organism in Eukaryota, Metazoa, Arthropoda, Insecta, Diptera, Culicidae.